AAGUCGUAACAAGGUUUCCGUAGGUGAACCUGCGGAAGGAUCAUUACAGAGUUCAUGCCCUCACGGGUAGAUCUCCCACCCUUGAAUACCAUACCUUUGUUGCUUUGGCGGGCCACCUUGGCGUGUCGGCUUCGGCUGGCUGCGCCCGCCAGAGAACCCAAACUCGUUUGUUUAGUGAUGUCUGAGUACUAUAUAAUAGUUAAAAACUUUCAACAACGGAUCUCUUGGUUCUG
This 233-nucleotide unclassified non-coding RNA is filed under the name Hyaloscypha sp. Its description in RNAcentral is "partial contains small subunit ribosomal RNA, internal transcribed spacer 1, and 5.8S ribosomal RNA". The stretch from base 1 to 46 matches the Rfam family "Eukaryotic small subunit ribosomal RNA", at positions 1786 to 1831 of the family's 1831-position model. Lineage: Eukaryota; Fungi; Ascomycota; Leotiomycetes; Helotiales; Hyaloscyphaceae. The record is from RNAcentral.